This 492-nucleotide ribosomal RNA is filed under the name uncultured bacterium. RNAcentral's name for it is "partial 16S ribosomal RNA". It matches the Rfam family "Bacterial small subunit ribosomal RNA", at positions 30 to 507 of the family's 1533-position model. The record is from RNAcentral.
AUUGAACGCUGGCGGCAUGCUUUACACAUGCAAGUCGAACGGUAACAGGCCUUCGGGUGCUGACGAGUGGCGAACGGGAGCGUAAUGCUUCGGCACGUACCCAGUGGCGGGGGAUAACGCAGCGAAAGCUGUGCUAAUACCGCAUGUGACCUGAGGAUGAUAGAGAGGGACCGAGCAGCAAUGUUUGGCAUUGCGCCUUUGCAGCGGCCGAUGUCGGAUUAGCUAGUUGGUGGGGUAAAGGCCUACCAAGGCGACGAUCCGUAGCUAGUCUGAGAGGACGACCAGCCACACUGGGACUGAGACACGGCCCAGACUCCUACGGGAGGCAGCAUAGGGGAAUUUUGGACAAUGGGCGCAAGCCUGAUCCAGCAAUGCCGCGUGCGGGAAGAAGGCCUUCGGGUUGUAAACCGCGUUUGGCAGGAACGAAACGGUGUCCGCUAAUACCGGGCGCUAAUGACGGUACCUGCAGAAUAAGCACCGGCUAACUACGUG